RNAcentral lists this ribosomal RNA (460 nucleotides) under uncultured bacterium. RNAcentral describes it as "partial 16S ribosomal RNA". It matches the Rfam family "Bacterial small subunit ribosomal RNA", at positions 30 to 507 of the family's 1533-position model. The record is from RNAcentral.
CGAACGCUGGCGGCGUGCUUAACACAUGCAAGUCGAGCGACGCUCUUCCUUCGGGGAGAUGACGGAGCGGCGAACGGGUGAGUAACACGUGGGCAACCUGCCCCUAGCUCUGGGACAACACCGGGAAACCGGUGCUAAUACCGGAUACGACAUCGAGCGGCAUCUCUCGAUGUGGAAAGUUUUUUCGGCUAGGGAUGGGCCCGCGGCCUAUCAGCUUGUUGGUGGGGUAAUGGCCCACCAAGGCGACGACGGGUAGCCGGCCUGAGAGGGCGACCGGCCACACUGGGACUGAGACACGGCCCAGACUCCUACGGGAGGCAGCAGUGGGGAAUAUUGCGCAAUGGGCGAAAGCCUGACGCAGCGACGCCGCGUGAGGGAUGACGGCCUUCGGGUUGUAAACCUCUUUCAGCAGGGACGAAUUCAGACGGUACCUGCAGAAGAAGCACCGGCCAACUACGUG